CCUUGGCCUGCCAUCUGAGCUCCCUCUGUCAGCUUCCCUGCAUACAAGUUAGAGAGUUCAUCGACGACAGAAUGGAGAUUUGAAGGUUAAAUACAUGUAUACAAGGAAAAGUGAUCAGUACAGGACCUGGCAUAUGUUUUGCAGUAAUAAAUAUUAGACAGCUCUGAGAGCACUGCUAAGGCAGUAACUUGCAUGAGUCCUUGGCCUUUCAUCAUGGGAGUUCAAGACAAAAGUCGGCCCCAUAUUCUAUCCCUAUUGGUCUGAUGAUUUUUAAGUCUCUUUGACAAUAUCUUCUAAGUAAAGUAAUCAUAUAGACUGUAAGGCAAAGGAAGAAGAGUUUUAUUUAUUUUACUUAUUUAUUUUUUAAAGAUUUUAUUUUAUUUAUUCAUGAGAGAGAGAGAGAGAGAGGCAGAGACACAGGCAGAGGGAGAAGCAGGCUCCAUGCGGGGAGCCCGAUGUGGGACUCGAUCCUGGGACUCCAGGAUCAUGCUCUGGGCUGAAGGCAGGUGCCAAACUGCUGAGCCACCCAGGGAUCCCCCUGGAAGAAGAGUUUUAACAGCAGUGGCUUCCACCACACACUGCGAGAAACUGAGUGAAAACCUUCUGGGCAUACACUGUCUUCUAUAGAGCCGAAGCUGCCAAUUUUGAAGAAAUUCAAUUUAUCAAAAAUUUUGAUAUCUGAGAUACUCAGUAGAGCGUUUAAUAUAAGUGGUGAUGAGAUGCCAAAUUCAGAAAUUGUUAAAAGCCAGACAUUGGAAGACAGAAGAGUAAGGAUGCUGGAUAACUGCAUACACAUGGUUGAGCUAUGGUACACUCCAUGAGAUGCUAUGUAGAUCUACCCACUGAUUUGUUUUGUCCUCUACCAGAAGCCACUUGUCCUCUGCUACAAGAAAAACUGUCUUCAGGUUGAUGGGAAGUGAGAUGGUGUGAGUUCGACCUUCUAGAACAUCCAGCACAGUCAGGUUGUUCCUGAAAGAGGAGAAGAAAACUAUCUGAAAGGAAAUGGUGAGGAUAAUGGUAGGUGCAAUCAGGUGUCAUAUUCAUCAGUUUAUUACAUGAAGCCAAGACAUAAACGUACAACUUGAAAAUAGUUCAGUGACUGCAUGCUCAGGAAUCUGUCAUGAAUAUCAUGCUCAAAAAGUUCACGAUGAUCUAUUAUUAUAGUUCAGUCCUGACAAGUCUUCAUGUGAGUAUGAGGUCUACAAAAAAAAAAAGUUACUGGUAACUUAAUGAUAUGUGUAUCUAUGUCUAUUUGUAUUACAUUAACAUCUACAAGUGCACAAUGAGAAUUCUCUUGUGCAGUGCAGUUAUAAACAAUAGGUACUGAGAGGGAUGGGCAUGCACACAUCUUUCAGGUAGAAAGCUCCAGAAAUCCUUGGAAAUUUGCUGGACAAGUUGAGUGUUCCUUACCGUGUCCUCCUUACUCCACCAGGAAGGUUUCUUAGAUGGAACCUCUUCUGAAGGGAGGAUGAGACGUCGAAGUGCUUGGCCAGUGGUAUCCAAUAAUAGGAUAACAUUACUCUGGAAAUAAAGUGAAUAGUAAAAAGGUCAAGAUU
Molecule: long non-coding RNA, 1556 nt
Organism: Canis lupus familiaris (dog)
Lineage: Eukaryota; Metazoa; Chordata; Mammalia; Carnivora; Canidae
Exons: 4
Source: RefSeq, a predicted model, not a curated record